GUUCUGUGUUUAAGUCUUUAGCGUACGGAUUGGCAAGCCGUCCGAAUUUUUUAGGUUAGGAGAGAAAAGGUCAGGCCUAAAUUUGGGAGGCAGAACUCGGAUGGCAGGAGAGAAGACGAACGUGAGAGGAGAGCUUGGAAGCAGAGGUUCCGAGGCGACAAGAGCAGGCAGGUGUCACGCCAGGCUGUGGCAGCAGGACGGGACAGGAAGCGGUGUCCCCAGAGCCUGGCGACCGCCGAGAGGUCCUGGUCCUGCCGGCUGACUGAUCAGACAGAUUCCCAGGGAAUCCGGGAGGGAGAGAGGCGGGUUGGAUGGAGGGGGAGUUCAGGUGUGACACGCUGACUCUGGUGCGGUGACAGGACGCGGCUGCGCGGACCCCCAGGUAUUUGGAAACGUAGGUCCGGGGCGCCCGGGAGAGCUCAGGGCUGGAGGCGCACUUGGGGAGCCACGGAUGCGCUCCCAGAGCGCGCCUAAGAGGGGCAGGUGUGUGUUUGCGGGGGGUGCUGGGCAAGCAGGAGGCUCGAGGGGCGCCCACCGCAGGGAAGGGGAAGUCAGCGCAGGAGCCUGAGGAGGAGAAGCUGCGAGAGUGCGUUUCUGAGGAACUCCGAGGGUGCGAGGGCGGAACCCAGGCGUGGCACAGCCGCGCGGAAACGAGGAGCGCGCCCUGGGCGGUCGCCAGGGAGUCCUGAGGGCCCCGCGGUGGGCAGGUGCCUCUGUGCCGGAACCCACGGCAGGCGGAGGCGCGAGCUGAGUCCUGGGUGUGCCAGGGAGAACUGAGGACGCCCCUGAGAAGGCGAAGCUAAAAGUGCCGCGGGAGUCUUGAUGGGGCGAGCACUCGUGGGGGUGGGCGAGGAGAGCACACUCAGCCUGCGUGCUGGCCAGUGGGGCUGAGAUGAAGACUGGCCGGCAAUGGGCUGCCUGUGUCGAGGACAGAAGAGGCUUGGAGAGGGCUGCCUUUUCUCUAGAGGUGGCUGCCCUGUGCACCUACCUCCCUGGGGAAGGGCAGCUCUGUGGCGUCAGUGAUCUGCAUAAAGAAAGCUGGGUUUUGAGACCUUCAAAGACCGGGCGAUUUUUCCUGGGGUCACACGGCUUGACGCCCGUACUUUUCUGUGAAGUGAAAGGCUCGCAGCAUCUUUCAGGAAUCUCUAGAAGAAAAUAUGUUGGAAUUUCUAAGCUUUACAGAGAAACCGUCACUCCCUAAAACAUUGAGUAUAGAACGUUCUUGCUUCCUGCAACCUUAAAGUGAGCCUGGGGCUGGUAAGGUGGCUUCUGCAGGUAAUCCCAGCGUGUGGGAGGCUCAGGUCGGAGGAUCGUCCGAAUCCUGAAGUCCAGGGAUUUCAGGAUCACAUCACUGCACUGGGGCAGCCUGGGCAGCACAGCGUCCAAAGAAAUUUAUGAAAGUGAAGUCAGCGUGAGGAGGAGGCGUGUGGAAGGGAAGGAGUCCGUGCUGCUCCUGCCUGUGCCCCUGGGCAGGUGGAGUUAAUCGUCUGG
Non-coding RNA from Callithrix jacchus (white-tufted-ear marmoset), 1491 nucleotides. The record is from RefSeq and is a predicted model, not a curated record. NCBI's taxonomy places the organism in Eukaryota, Metazoa, Chordata, Mammalia, Primates, Cebidae.